GAUGAACGCUGGCGGCGUGCCUAAUACAUGCAAGUCGAGCGAACAGACGAGGAGCUUGCUCCUCUGACGUUAGCGGCGGACGGGUGAGUAACACGUGGAUAACCUACCUAUAAGACUGGGAUAACUUCGGGAAACCGGAGCUAAUACCGGAUAAUAUAUUGAACCGCAUGGUUCAAUAGUGAAAGACGGUUUUGCUGUCACUUAUAGAUGGAUCCGCGCCGCAUUAGCUAGUUGGUAAGGUAACGGCUUACCAAGGCGACGAUGCGUAGCCGACCUGAGAGGGUGAUCGGCCACACUGGAACUGAGACACGGUCCAGACUCCUACGGGAGGCAGCAGUAGGGAAUCUUACGCAAUGGGCGAAAGCCUGACGGAGCAACGUCGCGUGAGUGAUGAAGGUCUUCGGCUCGUAAAACUCUGUUAUUAGGGAAGAACAAAUGUGUAAGUAACUGUGCACGUCUUGACGGUACCUAAUCAGAAAGCCACGGCUAACUACGUG
This 497-nucleotide ribosomal RNA is filed under the name uncultured bacterium. RNAcentral's name for it is "partial 16S ribosomal RNA". It matches the Rfam family "Bacterial small subunit ribosomal RNA", at positions 28 to 507 of the family's 1533-position model. The record is from RNAcentral.